AUGAACGCUGGCGGCGUGCCUAAUACAUGCAAGUCGAGCGAACGGACGAGAAGCUUGCUUCUCUGAUGUUAGCGGCGGACGGGUGAGUAACACGUGGAUAACCUACCUAUAAGACUGGGAUAACUUCGGGAAACCGGAGCUAAUACCGGAUGAUAUUUUGAACCGCAUGGUUCAAAAGUGAAAGACGGUCUUGCUGUCACUUAUAGGUGGAUCCGCGCUGCAUUAGCUAGUUGGUAAGGUAACGGCUUACCAAGGCAACGAUGCAUAGCCGACCUGAGAGGGUGAUCGGCCACACUGGAACUGAGACACGGUCCAGACUCCUACGGGAGGCAGCAGUAGGGAAUCUUCCGCAAUGGGCGAAAGCCUGACGGAGCAACGCCGCGUGAGUGAUGAAGGUCUUCGGAUCGUAAAACUCUGUUAUUAGGGAAGAACAUAUGUGUAAGUAACUGUGCACAUCUUGACGGUACCUAAUCAGAAAGCCACGGCUAACUACGUG
RNAcentral lists this ribosomal RNA (496 nucleotides) under uncultured bacterium. Its description in RNAcentral is "partial 16S ribosomal RNA". It matches the Rfam family "Bacterial small subunit ribosomal RNA", at positions 29 to 507 of the family's 1533-position model. The record is from RNAcentral.